UGUGGGAGCGGGCUUGCUCGCGAAGGCGGUUUGUCAGGCGUGAAUAUAUUGACUGACACACCGCCUUCGCGAGCAAGCCCGCUCCCACA
RNAcentral lists this unclassified non-coding RNA (89 nucleotides) under Pseudomonas sp. NFACC56-3. Lineage: Bacteria; Pseudomonadati; Pseudomonadota; Gammaproteobacteria; Pseudomonadales; Pseudomonadaceae. The record is from RNAcentral.